RNAcentral lists this ribosomal RNA (134 nucleotides) under uncultured eukaryote. RNAcentral describes it as "partial 18S ribosomal RNA". It matches the Rfam family "Eukaryotic small subunit ribosomal RNA", at positions 1299 to 1458 of the family's 1831-position model. The record is from RNAcentral.
UCGUGGAUUAAUUUGUCUGGUUAAUUCCGUUAACGAACGAGACCUUAACUUGCUAAUUGGAGUUGAUGAUUCAUUCGUCAACUCUGUUAGAAGGACCAUGUGUGUCUAACACAAGGAAGCGUGAGGCAAUAACA